GACGAACGCUGGCGGCGUGCUUAACACAUGCAAGUCGAACGGAAAGGCCCUGCUUGCAGGGUACUCGAGUGGCGAACGGGUGAGUAACACGUGGGUGAUCUGCCCUGCACUUCGGGAUAAGCCUGGGAAACUGGGUCUAAUACCGGAUAGGAGCCAUUUUUAGUGUGAUGGUUGGAAAGUUUUUUCGGUGUAGGAUGAGCUCGCGGCCUAUCAGCUUGUUGGUGGGGUAAUGGCCUACCAAGCCGGCGACGGGUAGCCGGCCUGAGAGGGUGGACGGCCACAUUGGGACUGAGAUACGGCCCAGACUCCUACGGGAGGCAGCAGUGGGGAAUAUUGCACAAUGGGCGCAAGCCUGAUGCAGCGACGCCGCGUGGGGGAUGACGGCCUUCGGGUUGUAAACUCCUUUCGCUAGGGACGAAGCUUUUUGUGACGGUACCUAGAGAAGAAGCACCGGCUAACUACGUG
This 465-nucleotide ribosomal RNA is filed under the name uncultured bacterium. Its description in RNAcentral is "partial 16S ribosomal RNA". It matches the Rfam family "Bacterial small subunit ribosomal RNA", at positions 28 to 507 of the family's 1533-position model. The record is from RNAcentral.